Molecule: ribosomal RNA, 386 nt
Filed under: uncultured Diversispora
Lineage: Eukaryota; Fungi; Glomeromycota; Glomeromycetes; Diversisporales; Diversisporaceae
Description: SSU rRNA
Rfam family: Eukaryotic small subunit ribosomal RNA
Source: RNAcentral
AGCAGCCGCGGUAAUUCCAGCUCCAAUAGCGUAUAUUAAAGUUGUUGCAGUUAAAAAGCUCGUAGUUGAACUUCGGGGUUUACCCAUUGGUCAGGCUUAAUUGUCUGUACUGGUGAGAUGAAUCUCUACCUUCUGAGGAACUCUCAUGCCAUUUAUUUGGUGUGGUUGGAAAUCAGGACUAUUACUUUGAAAAAUUAGAGUGUUUAAAGCAGGCUAACGUCUGAAUAUAUUAGCAUGGAAUAAUGAAAUAGGACGGCUUGGUUCUAUUUCGUUGGUUUCUAGGAUCACCGUAAUGAUUAAUAGGGAUAGUUGGGGGCAUUAGUAUUCAAUUGUACAGAGGUGAAAUUCUUGGAUUUAUUGAAGACUAACUACUGCGAAAGCAUUUG